RNAcentral lists this ribosomal RNA (381 nucleotides) under Staphylococcus pseudintermedius. RNAcentral describes it as "partial 23S ribosomal RNA". It matches the Rfam family "Bacterial large subunit ribosomal RNA", at positions 20 to 394 of the family's 2925-position model. The record is from RNAcentral. Lineage: Bacteria; Bacillati; Bacillota; Bacilli; Caryophanales; Staphylococcaceae.
CACGGUGGAUGCCUUGGCACUAGAAGCCGACGAAGGACGUUACUAACGACGAUAUGCUUUGGGGAGCUGUAAGUAAGCUUUGAUCCAGAGAUUUCCGAAUGGGGAAACCCAGCACGAGUUAUGUCGUGUUAUCUGCAUGUGAAUACAUAGCAUGCAAGAAGGCAGACCCGGAGAACUGAAACAUCUUAGUACCCGGAGGAAGAGAAAGAAAAAUCGAUUCCCUGAGUAGCGGCGAGCGAAACGGGAAGAGCCCAAACCAAUAAGCUUGCUUAUUGGGGUUGUAGGACACUCUGUACGGAGUUACAAAAGAAUUUGUUAGACGAAUAACCUGGAAAGGUUAAUCAGAGAAGGUAAUAAUCCUGUAGUCGAAAACGAAUUCUC